UACGUAGGGUGCAGGCGUUAAUCGGAAUUACUGGGCGUAAAGGGCUCGUAGGCGGCCAACUAAGUCAGACGUGAAAUCCCUCGGCUUAACCGGGGAACUGCGUCUGAUACUGGAUGGCUUGAGUUUGGGAGAGGGAUGCGGAAUUCCAGGUGUAGCGGUGAAAUGCGUAGAUAUCUGGAGGAACACCGGUGGCGAAGGCGGCAUCCUGGACCAACACUGACGCUGAGGAGCGAAAGCCAGGGGAGCAAACGGG
Molecule: ribosomal RNA, 253 nt
Filed under: uncultured bacterium
Lineage: Bacteria
Description: partial 16S ribosomal RNA
Rfam family: Bacterial small subunit ribosomal RNA
Source: RNAcentral